Molecule: ribosomal RNA, 470 nt
Filed under: uncultured bacterium
Lineage: Bacteria
Description: partial 16S ribosomal RNA
Rfam family: Bacterial small subunit ribosomal RNA
Source: RNAcentral
GACGAACGCUGGCGGCGUGCUUAACACAUGCAAGUCGAACGCUGAAGCACCAGCUUGCUGGUGUGGAUGAGUGGCGAACGGGUGAGUAAUACGUGAGUAACCUGCCCUUGACUCUGGGAUAAGCCCGGGAAACUGGGUCUAAUACUGGAUGCUACAUGUCACCGCAUGGUGGUGUGUGGAAAGGGUUUACUGGUCUUGGAUGGGCUCACGGCCUAUCAGCUUUUUGGUGAGGUAAUGGCUCACCAAGGCGACGACGGGUAGCCGGCCUGAGAGGGUGACCGGCCACACUGGGACUGAGACACGGCCCAGACUCCUACGGGAGGCAGCAGUGGGGAAUAUUGCACAAUGGGCGAAAGCCUGAUGCAGCGGCGCCGCGUGAGGGAUGACGGCCUUCGGGUUGUAAACCUCUUUCAGCAGGGAAGAAGCCACAAGUGACGGUACCUGCAGAAGAAGCGCCGGCUAACUACGUG